Molecule: ribosomal RNA, 475 nt
Filed under: uncultured organism
Description: partial 16S ribosomal RNA
Rfam family: Bacterial small subunit ribosomal RNA
Source: RNAcentral
CACUCCUGCGGGAGGCAGCAGUGGGGAAUAUUGCACAAUGGGCGCAAGCCUGAUGCAGCCAUGCCGCGUGUAUGAAGAAGGCCUUCGGGUUGUAAAGUACUUUCAGCGGGGAGGAAGGCAAUACGGUUAAUAACCGUGUUGAUUGACGUUACCCGCAGAAGAAGCACCGGCUAACUCCGUGCCAGCAGCCGCGGUAAUACGGAGGGUGCAAGCGUUAAUCGGAAUUACUGGGCGUAAAGCGCACGCAGGCGGUCUGUCAAGUCGGAUGUGAAAUCCCCGGGCUCAACCUGGGAACUGCAUUCGAAACUGGCAGGCUUGAGUCUUGUAGAGGGGGGUAGAAUUCCAGGUGUAGCGGUGAAAUGCGUAGAGAUCUGGAGGAAUACCGGUGGCGAAGGCGGCCCCCUGGACAAAGACUGACGCUCAGGUGCGAAAGCGUGGGGAGCAAACAGGAUUAGAAACCCGAGUAGUCCCAUGA